GACGAACGCUGGCGGCAUGCUUAACACAUGCAAGUCGAACGGUGGAAGAGGAGCUUGCUCCUCUGGAUUAGUGGCGAACGGGUGAGUAACACGUGAACAAUCUGACCCUGACUUCGGAAUAACUACGCGAAACUGUAGCUACUCUAGGAUCUGCGACGAACCGGCGUCGAUAUCGGUGGGACAGCAUUUCGGUCAGGGAUGAGCUCGCGGCCUAUCAGCUUGUUAGUGGGGUAGCGGUUGACCCAGGCGACGACGGGUAGCCGGCCUGAGAGGGGGGACGGGCACAUGUGGCCUAAGACAGGGCGCAGACGCCUACGUGAGGCAGCAGGGGGAAACAUGGCACAAUGGUCCCAAGUCUGUGGCAGCAACCCCGCGGGUGUGAUGACGUCCUUCGGGGUGAAAACCUCUGUUAGCAGGGAAGAAGCGAAAGUGACGGUACCUGCAGAAAAAGCGCCGGCUAACUACGUG
Molecule: ribosomal RNA, 468 nt
Filed under: uncultured bacterium
Lineage: Bacteria
Description: partial 16S ribosomal RNA
Rfam family: Bacterial small subunit ribosomal RNA
Source: RNAcentral